CGUAACGCGUAUGCAAUCUACCUUUUACAGGGGAAUAGCCCAGAAAAAUUUGGAUUAAUGCCCCAUAGCAUAUAGAGAUCGCAUGGGUUUUUAUAUUAAAGUUCCAACGGUAAAAGAUGAGCAUGCGUCCCAUUAGUUAGUUGGUAAGGUAACGGCUUACCAAGACGAUGAUGGGUAGGGGUCCUGAGAGGGAGAUCCCCCACACUGGUACUGAGACACGGACCAGACUCCUACGGGAGGCAGCAGUGAGGAAUAUUGGACAAUGGGCGCAAGCCUGAUCCAGCCAUGCCGCGUGCAGGAUGAAGCAUCUAUGGUGUGUAAACUGCUUUUGUACGGGAAGAAACCCUGGCUCGUGAGCCAGAUUGACGGUACCGUAAGAAUAAGGAUCGGCUAACUCCGUGCCAGCAGCCGCGGUAAUACGGAGGAUCCAAGCGUUAUCCGGAAUCAUUGGGUUUAAAGGGUCCGUAGGCGGCCCAGUAAGUCAGUGGUGAAAUCUCCCGGCUCAACCGGGAAAUUGCCAUUGAUACUGCUGGGCUUGAAUUACCAGGAAGUAACUAGAAUAUGUAGUGUAGCGGUGAAAUGCUUAGAGAUUACAUGGAAUACCAAUUGCGAAGGCAGGUUACUACUGGUGGAUUGACGCUGAUGGGCGAAAGCGU
Molecule: ribosomal RNA, 656 nt
Filed under: uncultured Bacteroidota bacterium
Lineage: Bacteria; Pseudomonadati; Bacteroidota
Description: bacterial SSU rRNA
Rfam family: Bacterial small subunit ribosomal RNA
Source: RNAcentral